RNAcentral lists this ribosomal RNA (500 nucleotides) under uncultured bacterium. RNAcentral's name for it is "partial 16S ribosomal RNA". It matches the Rfam family "Bacterial small subunit ribosomal RNA", at positions 29 to 523 of the family's 1533-position model. The record is from RNAcentral.
AUUGAACGCUGGCGGAAUGCUUUACACAUGCAAGUCGAGCGGCAGCGCGGGGGCAACCCUGGCGGCGAGCGGCGAACGGGUGAGUAACACAUCGGAACGUACCCUGUCGUGGGGGAUAACGGAUCGAAAGAUUCGCUAAUACCGCAUACGACCUGAGGGUGAAAGCGGGGGAUCGCAAGACCUCGCGCGAGAGGAGCGGCCGAUGUCGGAUUAGCUAGUUGGUGAGGUAAAGGCUCACCAAGGCGACGAUCCGUAGCUGGUCUGAGAGGAUGAUCAGCCACACUGGGACUGAGACACGGCCCAGACUCCUACGGGAGGCAGCAGUGGGGAAUUUUGGACAAUGGGGGAAACCCUGAUCCAGCCAUUCCGCGUGAGUGAAGAAGGCCUUCGGGUUGUAAAGCUCUUUCGGCCGGAACGAAACGGUUACGGAUAAUACCCGUGACUAAUGACGGUACCGGAGUAAGAAGCACCGGCUAACUACGUGCCAGCCGCCGCAGUAA